GACGAACGCUGGCGGCGUGCUUAACACAUGCAAGUCGAACGGAAAGGCCCUGCUUUUGUGGGGUGCUCGAGUGGCGAACGGGUGAGUAACACGUGAGUAACCUGCCCUUGACUUUGGGAUAACUUCAGGAAACUGGGGCUAAUACCGGAUAGGAGCUCCUGCUGCAUGGUGGGGGUUGGAAAGUUUCGGCGGUUGGGGAUGGACUCGCGGCUUAUCAGCUUGUUGGUGGGGUAGUGGCUUACCAAGGCUUUGACGGGUAGCCGGCCUGAGAGGGUGACCGGCCACAUUGGGACUGAGAUACGGCCCAGACUCCUACGGGAGGCAGCAGUGGGGAAUAUUGCACAAUGGGCGGAAGCCUGAUGCAGCAACGCCGCGUGCGGGAUGACGGCCUUCGGGUUGUAAACCGCUUUCGCCUGUGACGAAGCGUGAGUGACGGUAAUGGGUAAAGAAGCACCGGCUAACUACGUGCCAGCAGCCGCGGUGAUACGUAGGGUGCGAGCGUUGUCCGGAUUUAUUGGGCGUAAAGGGCUCGUAGGUGGUUGAUCGCGUCGGAAGUGUAAUCUUGGGGCUUAACCCUGAGCGUGCUUUCGAUACGGGUUGACUUGAGGAAGGUAGGGGAGAAUGGAAUUCCUGGUGGAGCGGUGGAAUGCGCAGAUAUCAGGAGGAACACCAGUGGCGAAGGCGGUUCUCUGGGCCUUUCCUGACGCUGAGGAGCGAAAGCGUGGGGAGCGAACAGGCUUAGAUACCCUGGUAGUCCACGCUGUAAACGGUGGGUACUAGGUGUGGGGUCCAUUCCACGGGUUCCGUGCCGUAGCUAACGCUUUAAGUACCCCGCCUGGGGAGUACGGCCGCAAGGCUAAAACUCAAAGGAAUUAACGGGGCCCCGCACAAGCGGCGGAGCAUGCGGAUUAAUUCGAUGCAACGCGUAGAACCUUACCUGGGUUUGACAUGGAUCGGGAGUGCUCAGAGAUGGGUGUGCCUCUUUUGGGGUCGGUUCACAGGUGGUGCAUGCCUGUCGUCAGCUCGUGUCGUGAGAUGUUGGGUUAAGUCCCGCAACGAGCGCAACCCUUGUUCACUGUUGCCAGCACGUUAUGGUGGGGACUCAGUGGAGACCGCCGGGGUCAACUCGGAGGAAGGUGGGGAUGACGUCAAGUCCUCAUGCCCCUUAUGUCCAGGGCUUCACGCAUGCUACAAUGGCUGGUACAGAGAGUGGCGAGCCUGUGAGGGUGAGCGAAUCUCGGAAAGCCGGUCUCAGUUCGGAUUGGGGUCUGCAACUCGACCUCAUGAAGUCGGAGUCGCUAGUAAUCGCAGAUCAGCAACGCUGCGGUGAAUACGUUCCCGGG
This 1343-nucleotide ribosomal RNA is filed under the name uncultured bacterium. Its description in RNAcentral is "16S ribosomal RNA". It matches the Rfam family "Bacterial small subunit ribosomal RNA", at positions 28 to 1378 of the family's 1533-position model. The record is from RNAcentral.